Molecule: ribosomal RNA, 253 nt
Filed under: uncultured bacterium
Lineage: Bacteria
Description: partial 16S ribosomal RNA
Rfam family: Bacterial small subunit ribosomal RNA
Source: RNAcentral
UACGGAGGGGGCUAGCGUUGUUCGGAAUUACUGGGCGUAAAGCGCACGUAGGCGGCUUUGUAAGUUAGAGGUGAAAGCCCGGGGCUCAACUCCGGAAUUGCCUUUAAGACUGCAUCGCUAGAAUUGUGGAGAGGUAAGUGGAAUUCCGAGUGUAGAGGUGAAAUUCGUAGAUAUUCGGAAGAACACCAGUGGCGAAGGCGACUCACUGGACAGGUAUUGACGCUGAGGUGCGAAAGCGUGGGGAGCAAACAGG